Triticum dicoccoides is the source of this 3715-nucleotide long non-coding RNA. RefSeq lists it as uncharacterized. The record is from RefSeq and is a predicted model, not a curated record. Lineage: Eukaryota; Viridiplantae; Streptophyta; Magnoliopsida; Poales; Poaceae. The transcript has 2 exons.
GAAGGCAUACUCCCGUAUCCCUAACCUCACGCCCACCAUCCCACACACCGCCUGCCAUGGAUCCGCCGCCGUCCUGAUCUCCGAUCGUUGUCGUCGCUCCCUGUUCCAUCCGCGGCCGCUCCUCACCACAUCCACCCUCCAUCGCAUCCCACUGCCUCCAUAGCCACAUUGGAUCAUCUCUCUCCUUGGUAAUCUCUCUUAGAUCAGCACGCGGUGGUGGGUGCUUCCGAUCGCGUGGUGGCGACGCGGCUGGUCGGGGAACGAGGGUGAGUGUGGUCUAUAGGUGACAACAAUGGUGUUCUGUUGUGCCCCUCCACUCUUCGGACCGCCGAGGCGCAGAAGUACCCGGAGAAGAUCGCGCUCCAUGUAGCAAAUUCGGCCAUGUUCUGAGUGGCUGCCCGGAACUUGGGUUGAAUGGAUUCACAGGUGUGCUAGGUGGAGUGCCACUGGAUUGCCAUGUUAGUGGCAGAAUCCACUCUCCUGCACACAUGAACUUGGGUUUACCAAGGAACUGGGUUAAUACUUCCAUCUUUUGGCUUCGCAAUGGUGAUUAAGAUACUUUUGUUUUUUAGAAUCAUGUUGAUUUAGUUAGUUUGUUAACAGGUGCUUCAGUUAGGACUAAUAGCCGAGAGUGGUCGACAAGAUUGAAUUUGGCAGAGUACAAUACAAUUUUGUUAUAAUUGGUGGUUUAGUUAGUUUUUUUAAAUGGUUCAUGGGCUCAACUACUAUUUAGCUUACUACAGUAUAGUUGUGUCGAUUGUUGAUGAUGAAUAAUACCCAAUGAUUGCUUUCUGGUGCCCACUGUACUAUAGUUUACUACGGAGAACUUGAGCUUUUUUUGCCAAGAAACUGUCUAUGCUAAUUCCCACAAGGAGUAAUUCAUUCCACAUCCAAGUAUUUAUUGUUGAUCAUUGAUGCUUCAUCUGUUUAUGCUGCAGAAACAAGGUCACAUGAAUGAUUAGCAUCUUUCGGCAGAAGCAUGUUAAUUAAUUGAAGAAAUACCACUGCUCCUAUGACUAUGAGCGUAAUCCAAUCCUGAUUUUUUAGGACCACUUUAGGAUGUGAUCAUUAGUGUGGCUUCAAAGCUGCUUGAUAUGGCAUAACGUUUGAUUUUUACUAAUCUUAAAGCCGAGCCUAAGCAAUGUUAAGUAGACUUCAUUGAAUUCUUAAUAAGGAAAUUCCACAAUCUGAUGUGUGUGUCAUAGGAUUAGCGUUGUUUGAAUAAUUUCUUCUUCUUACCAAUCAGGCUGAUGAUUUUAACUGUAGAUGCAGAAUCUGUGCUGGAUGUUCAUCAGCAGUGCCAGUUAAGGGUUCAGGCUCCUACGGCACUCAUGUCAUCAGCCAUAUGGAUGUGCGUGUAUAUGACAGUUUGCUCGAACGGCGUUAUGCCUUCAACUGCAACUAAGGCCACCACACUACUUCAUCGAUAAUUUAUUUUCUAUAGGACUGGGAUUAAUAAUCUCCAACAAUAUGGUCAUGCUUCUUAUAUUUACUUUCAGUUCUAAUACAUUUGUGAUUUUCUGUAUGUUGUACCACCAAAGUAUGUGUGCUAAACCAAACAUGACAUCUAUGCCUUUUCAGGUAUGCAUGCAUGUUUCAAGAGAAUAUAUCUAAUAUGUAGUAUAUAGAAAGGUACCUAAAAUGUUUGGCUUAUAUUGCAGAAUCUUGAAAAUAUACAGUCGUUUUACUUUUUUUUCUAUGAACCUUGGGAGCUUGGGAUGAAGUAUGGUGUAUAUACGAGAACAAUAUUUUUGUGAUAUUGUAUAUACUAAAUUUUUGAUAAUGGAGUAUAUACCACAUUUUUGCCAUGGACUCUUUACCACAUUUUUGAAUUGGUUAGAAUAGCUGACGCCAUUUUUCAUCUUCGUUGUGUUAUAUGCUACCAUCAAAAGGAGUAUAUAAGGUACUAAUUUCAAGCAUAUAUUUACUGUACUGUAUUUGUCUAUAUGCAUCUACAACCAAGCAGUAUGUACACUGCUCUUUGUGCACAGUAUGUAGCAUACGAAAUUAAAUCAAAAGGGUAUAACUUUUUAAUGAAGUAAGUAUAUACUCUUUUUGAGAUGCAGUAUAUACAACAUUUUUUGUAAGGCAAUAUAUAGUACUUUUUUUGUGAACCAGUGUCUACUUUUAAUCAGUAUAUACGUGAUCUUUUAGUAGAUAUAUACUACUCUUCUUGAGUCGGUAUGUACUACUGUUCUUGAUAUAAAGGGUAAAGCAGUGCGCACAUGCCACAUCACAGCCGUUGUUGACUAGAUGGUGGUAUCGCUACGUGGAUCUAUCAGUGCACGCCAUGCCGCCACCGUUUAUUGUCGCCGUUGUCGACGAGAUUGGUAGUGCCAUCGCAUGGAUUGAUCAGUGCACACCAUCGCAUGGAUUGAUCAGUGCACGCCAAGCCUCCGCGUUGUCGACGAGAUGGUGUCGUUUUAUUGAUUGAUUAGUGCACCUACUCAUUAACAUCACAUCCGCUAUGUGACUAGCUGUGUCAAUGGAUUUGCACCUCGAUCCAGAUUGCUUUCAUGCAAAGCUUAUCAUGUUUACCUCUUGUGAUGGAAUAGGCAGGCACACGAGAAGACCUGAUCGAAGACGCUCAUAGUCCGAGGUAAAUACUCCUUCCAUGCAAGCUUUCAAAUAGUUUUCUUUUCUUUUGAACACUGUAAAUUUGUUUUAAAAAUGGUGGUAACAAAUUUGUUAAAUUAUUAGUGGGAGAGACCCCCAACUAAUAAUAUAAGAACAAGAGUAGGCUAGGAAAAACAUACAACAUCAUUAAGCGGCAGUAUCAUUGGAAAGAUUGCACACUAUUAUUGAAUACUGAUGGUCAUGAUGCUAAGUACUUCUUCCUCCAGGCCUGAAAGAGAUAACUAAUUCUCCACCAUCUCUUCCUUUCAUAGUUAAAAAACAGUCUCAAGUAAUCCUACGGCAUGUCUUUCUCUUCGGCCACCUACCACCCAAUGCAAGCUAACCCAUGUCUCCCAAAACCAAGUUGGGGCAUGGAUCCGCUGUGCUAAAGGAGCUUAUUGACUCAAAACCGUUUUCCUCAUCUGUAUUAGGUUCAUUUUCUCAGAAUAUUUGGUUCUAAUUUUUUCCUAGCAGGUUUAUACUUGAAUCCACACUAAUUUUGGAUUUGGGUUCAAUUUGUUUUGUAUCAUGUGCUUGGAUAGUGUUCUGCUAUGCAAGGAUGCAGUCUUGGCUCUUCUCAUAUACAACCUCUGGAUACCUCUGGAGAUUGGUGGGAGCAUAAUAUUCCCACGUACAACCUAUGGAUACAUAAUGGACAUCGGUCGGAGCAUAACUAUGCUCAUGAGGCGAGCCUAUAAAUUAAACCUGCUACCUUAACAGAAGACAACAACAUGAAUGAGCCUAAUGUCAGUUGUCAACGUCGUCACUGGUCAAAUUACUAAUCAAUUUUUGUAUCGACAAAACAUGUCGAAGACCCUAUGUGGGAGAGUUAACAUCGUCAAUGGUCUGCCCCAAUCUCCAGUUCUGGCUAAUGUUGUUGCUUGAAUUGCUGAUCCACCAGAGUCUCAUGUUCAAGGGAGUUCCUUGCCAAGCUGCCAUGUCCUGACUGUUGUAUGUUAGGUCAUGAAUUUUCUUCUAACUCCUUUUCAGCCAGCAGAUAGUGCAGAUAGUUAUAGUGUGAAACACUUGACAAUGUAGCUCUCUGUCGACUACUACAACAUUGAGGGUUUCUGUUAUAAAGCUGAAUAUCUAUUUUUUC